This 7681-nucleotide long non-coding RNA is filed under the name Gossypium barbadense (sea-island cotton). RNAcentral describes it as "long non-coding RNA (GBAR_LNC021885)". The record is from RNAcentral. Lineage: Eukaryota; Viridiplantae; Streptophyta; Magnoliopsida; Malvales; Malvaceae.
UGGAAAAGAAAAUAAAUAAAAUAAAAAUGGAGAUUUUAUGGAAUGGAAAUAUGAGAAGAACAAAAGCGUAGACUUUUUGGGAAAGAGUGUUUACAGAAAAAGAUGGAUCUCUUUUGAGUCACUUCACCCCCUAUUUAUAGUGCUAGGGGAGAUAGUCUAAUCCUACUUAAAUUCCCAAAAGAUAAAUACAUUUAAUUGAAGAUAAAUAAAGAUAAAUAAAAUAAAAUCCUCAAAUGAAAUAAUCCUUAAUAAUUAUCUUAAUAUUAAUUAUCCUAAUAUAAUUAAAAUAGAGUCUGAUAGAAUAAAAUCUCUUCUUUCUGAAUUUCAACCCUUGUGUCCUCCAUGCUUGCACUUUUGGCACUAACUUUUCCUUGUGUCGCACAUUGGCCCAUUUUAUCUCUAAAUUCACGCUUUUGGCCCUUAAUUUUGCUUUUGCCUCAAAUUUAGUCCUUAUGAGAUAAAAGAUCAUAAAUAGCUCAAAUUAGCAAGAUCAUACUCAGAAUAAUUACAUAAUUAAUACAUAAAAAUACGUUAUUCUAGAAUGUUAUCAUGGGUAUUCGGCUAAAGAAGAAUUUAUGCAUAAUUUAUAUGUUUUGGUUAUACGAAAUCAAGUUGGAAGUGUUCAUGAUUUGAUAAUAACUUAUUUUGGUUUAAAUAAUUUAAUUUUUGUAUAUGAUUAAGUAUUUGGUUGCUUAUGACUUACUAAGCUUUAAUAGCUUACUGUGUGUAUGUUUACUCUUUGUUUUUAUAGAUUUUUUUUUGAAGUCACGAUACGAGCUCGGGGAUCGUUAGCAAAGUCUAUCACACUAUCGACAUCUUUUGGCAUUUUGUUAAAUUUUGAAUUCGAUCUUAUGGCAUGUAUAGGCUUGCUUAUGUUUGGUUAGUUUUGGAUCAUGUAUAUAAAUGGCCAUGCGAAAAUGGCUUAAUGUCCAUGCUUAUGAUCGGUUGGGUUUAAAAAUGACUCGUCUAUGAUCAUUUUGUUAAAGUUAGGUUUUUAUGAGUUCUUGAUCAAGUGCUUAAUGUGUUUAGUUUUAUCAUUUUGGCUAUGGCUUUUUUAUAUGUGAUAUUGAUUGCUAUAUUUCGUUAAUAAUGUGGUCAAUGAGUUGAUAUAUAUAAUAUGUGUGGUAUGUAUGGAUUUGAUAACUAAUUGAGUUAGAUGAUUAUAAGUUUGGGUGUAUAGGUUAUUUUGAUUCGGUUUGUAUUGAUAAUGUAUUUGAGUGUAUAUUGGUUACAUAUGUUUGAUUGUUAAAUGGUAAGUAGUAUACGUGUUUCAUAAUUGUUUUAGAUUUGAAUCAAAAAGGGUAAAUGAUGGAUAUGGGUUAAGUAUGUUUUGGUUAGUUUUUUUUUUUUUUUGGAUAGUUAAAAAGGUUAAGUUGGUGCUAAUGUUAAAUUAGGUAUGUGUACAUAGGUGCUAUAAACUCAGUUACUAUAUUGGUCCAUUAUGAUAGUUGUAUAAUCUUGAUAAUUGUAUGAUCGAAUCAAUGGCUAGUUAAUAGGAUAAAUGUGAAGAUUAGGUAAACUAAUAUGCAUAUGCGAAUUUAAUAUACAUAGAAAUGUUAUUUAUGUGCAAUAUUAAACGUGAAAUUUGUUUAUAAGGCAAGUGAGCAUUACAAUUAUAUAAACAUCAAUAGUAUGUUCGGCUAGGAUGUUAUGUUACUAUGCUUGUAUAUACAUUUGGUUAUUAAAAGGUAUAAAAUGGUUCGGUUGGUUUAAGAGGCACAUAUAAUUGAAGUAAUAGGAUAAUCAAUUUAUGUUAUAUAUGUUUUGAUCUAUGUUCGAUAUAUACUAUAUAAUGAUAUAUGCUGGGAUAUGUUUUAAGUGUAUAAAUGUUAUUUAUGUUAAGCCAGGUGGUUUGGACAUUUUUAUGUAUUAAGUACUUGUAAUAUGAUUUAUUGCACAUUGUUAAAUUGAAUAUGUAAUUAUUUAGACGAUAAUAAUAUGGUUAAUUAUUGAAGCAAGAGUAAAUUUAUCAAAGUCUGCUCUCUCUAGCACGUCUCUGUCUGCUCUCUCUAGCAGUAUUAGGGUUUUUUUGGUUUUGUUUUAUUGAUUUAAUGUGACGGCGUCUUCUAUUAAGAUCAUUCUUCUUACUUUCGACAUUAAGGUUUAGAGUAAGUAUGGAGACAGAAUUUGCGGGAUUAACAUUGGAGGAGGAGGAAGACGAAAUUUUUCAAAUUCAAUCUGAGGAGGAAACGAAUGGAGUAACGGAAGUCUUGCAAUUGGUGGGUUGUUUCUUAACGGAAAGUACUGUCCAUUUUCCAGCAAUGAGAAGUACUAUGGCAAAUUUGUGGCACCCCGUACGGGGAGUUCAAAUUAGAGAUUUGGGGGAAAAAAGGUACUUAUUUAAAUUUUUUCAUAUAAUGGAUCUUCCAUAAAUUGCAAAUGGGGGAGGACCCUUUGAAGGUCCCGCUUAUCUACUCACCUCUGUGGACCCACAUACAUGAUGUCCCAAUUGGUUUCGUAUCAGAAAAUCCAGCAAUUCAAAUGGGAAAUUUUAUUGGAGAGUUCCUGGAAUAUGAUGGUUCAUACCUGGGAAAAGAAAGUAGAAAUUUUAUGAGAAUACGCGUCAAAAUUGAUAUAUGGUACCCUUUAAAAAGGAAAAAACAGAUAAGGUGUUAUGGAAAGUGCUCAUAUGCUCAUUUUAAAUAUCAACGACUUUCACUUUUUUGCUUUUUUUGUGGUCGACUGGGCCAUAGCGAUUCCUUUUGUGAAACAAAGAUGGUGUUAGGAGCAGAAACCAAAGAGAUGGGAUGGGAUUUAUCAAUUAGGACACAGUCUCAUCGAGCUCAAAUGAUGACCAGUGUAUGGUUGCGAGAAGAAUGUGGGGACAAGGGAGAGGAAAUAAUAGGGAAAGUCAAACUAAGGAGGUUAACGUCAAGGAUCCAAUGGAUAAUAGGGGGAUUUGUGAAUUUCUUGAUCCAGUAUUGGGAAUUAAUUUGGUAGGAAGGGAAUAUCAUACAGGAAGUAAAUACAAGAAUGAAAGUGGUAAUUUGGAGAACAGCUCAAUGGAACAUGAUCUUGAAGAUGAUGUGAUCGUUAGAGAAGAGGGUAAAAAGAGAAACAGAAGGGACAUGGAAGAUGUCUUGGCCAAAGAGAAGACUAACGUUUUGGCGGAAAGGAGUAAGAGAACAGUGGAGGUUAAUCAUAAAUUAUCCGCGGCUGUCAAGUGGGCAGCUGACCGAUCACAAUGAAAAUUUUAAGUUGGAAUAUCCGUGGAUUGGGGAGUCCACGGACAAUUCAAAGGCUUCGUCAGUAUAUGCUGAAGCUAUACAAUCCCCAGAUAGUCUUCUUCAUGGAGACGAAAAUUAAUUGCAGUCAGAUGGAAAAAGUUAGAAGAAGCUGUGGGUUUUUAAACGAUAUUGAUGUUAGUUCAGAGGGAUCUAGAGGUGGGCUAUGUUUGGCUUGGCGAGCUGGGAUAAAUGUCCAGCUCCAAAGCUUUUCAAAAUGACAUAUUGAUGUGAUCAUUAAUGAUACAACAGAAGGGUACAAAUGUAGAUUUACAGGGUUUUAUGGGUCUCCAUAUCCACAAGAAAGAGUUGAGGCAUGGAAUCCUUUACGUCACUUAGGCAUGGUUAGGAAGCUACCAUGGAUGGUUUGUGGAGACUUCAAUGAAAUUCUGUAUAGUUUUGAGAAAAAAGGUGGUUUAUCGCGUGAGGAAGGACGAAUGGAAGCUUUUCGUAAGGUAUUGGAGGAGUGCAGCUUGUCUGAUAUGGGGUUUAAUGGAAACUGGUUUACGUGGGAAAGGGGGAAUUUGCCUGAAACUAAUAUUCAAAAGGGGUUGGAUAGGGGAGUGGCGAAUGAAGAAUGGUUACAAAUAUUCCUUGAAUUUCAGAUUCAGCAUCUCCCACAUACAUUUUCUAAUCAUUGCCCAUUAUUGGUUCAUACAAAAAAGGAAUGCAGAGAAAGGGUCCAUAAAGAAUUCAAGUUUAAAGCAUGGUGGGACUUGGAGGAUUCAUUCUUAGAAUAAGUUAAAAACAUCUGGGACAAUUCUGAGGGUGAGUUUUUAAGUAAGCUAAACAGUAUGAAAAGGGGGUUGGAGGGAUGGGCUAAAAAAAUACAUUACUCUAGGGAAGGAAGGAAAAAGUUGCUAUCCACAAAACUGGCCACAUUAUUAGAGGCGGAAAAAGAUAAAGAAAUUCUGGCAGAUCUGAUUGAUAUGAAAAUUCAACUGAACUUGGAGAUUGAAAAGGAUGAACGGUAUUGGGAACAAAGAGCGAGGGUUAACUGGUUAAAGCUUGGGGAGAAGAAUACAGCCUUCUUCCACAAACAAGCAACGCAGAAAAGAUAGAGGAACCUGACUCAAAAAAUGCAGAAUGAUCAUAGAAGGGAAAUAGAGGACUCAAAUGAAAUGAAGGCGAUAACCAGAAUUUAUUUUCAAAAGGUUUUUUCUGCGGGUAGAAGAGCAAAUUAUGAGCAUGUUUUGUCUGGAGUUACCCAAUGUAUAUCGGAGGAAGACAAUUUUAUGCUAAAAGAGAGAUACACAAAGGAGGAGAUUCAGCAGGCAUUAUCGUAAUUAGGGCCCACCAAAGAACCAGGGGAAGAUGGACUUCCAACAUUAUUCUACCAGAAAUGCUGGACGAUUAUUGGGGAUGAAGUGACUAACUUCUGUCUCGAUCAUCUAAAUGGAGGGAUGGAGAUUGGCCCAAUCAACAAAACAAAUAUCGUUUUAAUUCUAAAAAUUUCAAAUCCAGUGGAUAUUUCACACUUUAGGCCCAUUAGUUUGUGUAAUGUUAUAUAUAAAUUAAUGGCCAAAGUUAUUGCGAAUCGUCUUCGAAAAGUUUUAGAAAAAUGCAUUAAUCCUGCCCAAAGUGCUUUUGUGCCUGGGAGAUUAAUUUCGGAUAAUGUAUUGUUGGCAUAUGAGCUAUUCCAUACACAAACAGAAGAGGGUAGGGAAGAAAGGAUUUAUGGCGGUCAAGCUGGAUAUGAGCAAGGCGUAUGAUAGGGUAGAAUGAAACUUUGUGGAGGAGAUGUUGAAGAAAAUGGGCUUUGACUCAGAGUGGGUAGCUUUACUUUUAAGGUGUGUAAAUUCGGUUUCUUAUUCGGUGGUUCUUAAUGGUAAAAAUGGAGAAAUUUUCACCCCCUCUAGAGGAUUGCGACAAGGUGACCCAUUGAGUCCGUUUUUAUUCCUAUUUUGUGGAGAAGGCCUUUCUAGCCUCAUGAGGCUAGGAAUAUAGGAGAACAAAGUCAGAGGGGUCAAAGCAAGCAGAAGUGGACCACAGGUUUCACAUCUACUAUUUGCAGAUGAUUGUAUGCUGUUUGGGGAAGCAACAGAAAGGAGUUUAAGUUACUUGAAACAGAUUCUGCAUCAAUACGAAGCUUGUUCGGGUCAGAAGGUAAAUUAUUCGAAGUCUAUAAUUUUUUUCAGCAGCAACACACAGGAGGAAGAAAUACGAACAAUUAAUCGAGUUCUUAGGGUGCGAGGAUCAGAUGACAUGGAAAGAUAUCUAGGGCUCCCUAACUUGGUGGGAAGAAGGAAAAAAGCUGCGUUUCAGAUUUUAAAAGAUAGAUUCAGGCAACGAAUUGAUAAUUGGAGCAUCAAAUACCUCUCACAAGGAGGUAAGGAGAUUUUCAUCAAAGCUGUUUUACAAUCCAUUCCAACAUACGCAAUGUCUUGUUUUUUACUCCCUAUAUCUCUUUGUAAGGAAUUAGAAAGCAUUAUUGCAAAAUUUUGGUGGCAAAAAAAUAAGGGGAAAAAGGGGAUGCAUUGGUGUGCAUGGAAGGACAUUUGCUUAGUAAAAGAAUUAGGUGGUCUAGGUUUUAGAUGCUUAGAUAAGUUUAAUAUAGCAUUAUUAGCUAAACAAGGUUGGCGUCUUAUUAAUUAUCCGAGUUCUUUGUUAGCCCGAGUUUUAAAAGCUAAAUACUUACAUAGAAAGAACUUCUUGAAUGCAUCUUUAAGUAACUUACCUUCACUUACCUGGAGAAGCAUUUGGUCAACAAAAAAACUCCUGAUGGACGGAUUAUGCUAGAGGGUAGGUGUAGGGGACCAUAUCUCCGUAUGGAAUGAUUGCUGGGUUUCGGGAGCAACUGAAGAUAGAUUACAGAAUAACAGCAGAAGUGAAAGUAUCAGAGUAGUGGCCGACUUAAUUAAUGCAGAGAGUAGAACAUGGAAAAGAGACUUGAUUGUCAAUACCUUUAAUACGGAUAUCGCAAGGAAGAUUCUACGGAUUCCACUUUCAAAGACUGCCCAAGAAGACAUCCAAGUAUGGAGAGGGGAGGCUACUGGAGUCUUUUCAGUUAGAAGCGCUUAUAAACUAUUACAGGAGUCAACAUUAGAGCCUAAUGCUUAUUUACAGACUGAUACAAAAAAAUUUUACAAGAAAUUAUGGAAACUACAGUUGCCCUUAAAAAUUAAAAUUACAGUAUGGAGAAUAACGUGGAAUUACAUAUCCACUUUCUCUAAUCUAAAAUCGAGAAGAGGUUCGUUGUUUGAGAUGUAGCCAGGACGAAGAAGAUAGCAUCCACGUCUUCCAAAUGUGUCCUAUAGCAAAAGAAAUAUGGAGUCAUUUGAACUUUUCUUGGGUACUUAAUGACAAUCAUGGUGAUAUAUGGAGUUGGCUUAUCUGGGUAUUCAGCAAAGGGACAAAUGAACAGUGCAUGGGAUUUUGCUGCGGGCUAUGGGGAAUCUGGACAAGCAGAAAUAAGUUUAUAUAUGAAAGAAAAUAUAGUACCAGUUGGGAUAUAUCGAAGCAAAUUCAAAGUUAUAUUUUAGAACUAGAAGGUGUUAAAGAAAGGGUACUCACUUUGGCAACCAGUACAAGGCCUAGACAGAGGAUACGAAGGGCGAAUAAGGCCAUCUUUUUCGAUGCGGCGUUUGAUUCACAAAACCACAGAUCUGCGUCAGGUCUUAUUGUUAAAAAUGAGGCGGGCAGAAUCGUUGGAGCAAAAUCGAUCCUUCAUGACAAUGUUGCAUCUCCGUUUGCGGCGGAAGCAUAUGCAAGAUUUCAAGCAACAAGGUUAGGGAUCCAGUUGGAAUAUUAUACUUUGGAUAUAAUAGGAGAUUCAAAAACAGUGAUAAAAAAAUGUCAAAGUGGAAACCGAGACAGAUCAGAAAUAGGAGGAAUUAUCAGCGAUAUUCAAAGCUUCAAAGAUUUAUUCCACAAAGUCAGAUUUUACUUCAACUCAAGGUCUGAAAAUAUUGAAGCACACAGACUAGCAAAAAGAACACUUCAAACGGGAGUGGAACAGUACCUGGAGGGAGAGACCUUAAGAUCGAUUGGUGAAGACUCGGAGCCAAGCUGCUUGGGUAAUCUAGAGUAGAAAGGAAAGGGGAUAAGAUUUUGGCUUUUGGCAUCAAUAAAUGACGAUUGAAAUGAAAAGGAGGAUGUUGUUUGUAAAAGUAAUCUGAUAAGUAAAAGAUUUGAAAGGAUUUGCUUUUACUUUUCAGUUGUCUUGGGCAGAGGAAAAGGCAGAUGGAUUUAUGAAGACAACUGACCGAUCGACUGGAAUUUUGAAUUUGUUUAUUUUAUUAUUUUACUUAAGGUGGGCUAAAUUGAUGUAAGCCUGCUUUUGCUGGUUUUGUUUCUUAGGUUUUGUUUAUUGGGUUCGACCCAAGAGACGUUUUCGUUUUAAUUUUAGGGUGUUAAUCCAGUCGAUUUUUCAAAAAAAAAUUUAUUGAAGCACGAUUUUUAUGUGUGAUAUGACUAGAUCAAAAGUAUAAUUUGAUUUUGGUUGACUAUGUGACCCA